Molecule: ribosomal RNA, 270 nt
Filed under: uncultured prokaryote
Description: partial 16S ribosomal RNA
Rfam family: Bacterial small subunit ribosomal RNA
Source: RNAcentral
UACGUAGUGGGCUAGCGUUAUCCGGAAUUACUGGGCGUAAAGGGUGCGUAGGUGGUUUCUUAAGUCAGAGGUGAAAGGCUACGGCUCAACCGUAGUAAGCCUUUGAAACUGAGAAACUUGAGUGCAGGAGAGGAGAGUGGAAUUCCUAGUGUAGCGGUGAAAUGCGUAGAUAUUAGGAGGAACACCAGCUGCGAAGGCGGCUCUCUGGACUGUAACUGACGCUGAGGCACGAAAGCGUGGGGAGCAAACAGGAUUAGAUACCCUGGUAGU